CAGGGAGACAACACAAUGAUUUUGAUGCCUGAGUGCUUUUAUUCUUAGGCCGAAAUCCUGUCACCUUAGGUCGAUCGGUACCUCAGCUUUGAAGUCAAGGAUCAGCAGCAAUGUUGAUUGCUUGAUGGAGAUUUUCAGUUCCUAAACUUUGUCUAGGUCACACCCCAAAAGGGAUGAGACUCCUGGGCCAUUAGCUCAGGUGGUUAGAGCGCACCCCUGAUAAGGGUGAGGUCCCUGGUUCAAGUCCAGGAUGGCCCAUUCGGUGUUGGGGGUUUAGCUCAGUUGGUAGAGCGCCUGCUUUGCAAGCAGGAUGUCAGGAGUUCGAGUCUCCUAACCUCCACUGACCGAACUUGAUUCCCAUCUCCAAUUUUUUGGAGUUGAGCUCGAUUGGAGUGUGAUUUAGAUGUGUCCGCUGGAUGACCCCAGCUUCCUGUCAUUCCAAGUUUUAGGUUAAAGCCUUGAAUUUGGUUGAUAAGAUGCUGGGCUCGGAUCAAAUGAUCAAGCAAUUGAUGAUUUGAUUUGAAGUUCUAGCAGAACCUUGACAACUGCAUAGGUGAGUCUGGAAAAAACAAAGCAUCUUACAGAUGCAUUGUUUUGAAUCUGAUCUUCUGAAAGGGAGAUUGGAUCUAGAACAAUGAAAAUUCUUUUGAGCAAGAGCCGAGACUCUUGAGCGUUCUUUGAUUGGUGUCGAGCCAAUCAGAGUUUGAUCUUGUUUUUAGCAAUAAAAACUUGAGAAUCUGCUUUCAACGGCGGUAAGCGUUUAAGAGGUUAAUU
RNAcentral lists this transfer RNA (774 nucleotides) under Synechococcus sp. UW96. Its description in RNAcentral is "16S-23S ribosomal RNA intergenic spacer". The stretch from base 268 to 340 matches the Rfam family "tRNA". The record is from RNAcentral. Lineage: Bacteria; Bacillati; Cyanobacteriota; Cyanophyceae; Synechococcales; Synechococcaceae.